Molecule: long non-coding RNA, 215 nt
Filed under: Medicago truncatula (barrel medic)
Lineage: Eukaryota; Viridiplantae; Streptophyta; Magnoliopsida; Fabales; Fabaceae
Description: long non-coding RNA (MTRU_LNC000666)
Source: RNAcentral
GGGGGUCGUUUUCGCUACGGGAAGGUGUUAGGCACCCGGAGCGAUUAUGGUAUUCCAUAAGAACCGUUCUCCUAAGUUUAUUUCUACGCUUUAGUUUUAUUGCUUAUUUGUAAAAAAAGAAGGUGUGAUUAGUUAAGAAUGGGGGUGAGAAGAAGUAGAAUUUGAUUUUUACUUCGGCUUGGAUGAGUUUUGACUCAUUGCCUACGUACCCUUUU